This 253-nucleotide ribosomal RNA is filed under the name uncultured bacterium. Its description in RNAcentral is "partial 16S ribosomal RNA". It matches the Rfam family "Bacterial small subunit ribosomal RNA", at positions 524 to 776 of the family's 1533-position model. The record is from RNAcentral.
UACAGAGGUCCCGAGCGUUGUUCGGAUUCACUGGGCGUAAAGGGUGCGUAGGUGGUGAGGUAAGUCGGAUGUGAAAUCUCCGGGCUCAACCCGGAAAUGGCAUUGGAAACUACCUUGCUGGAGGAUUUGAGGGGGGAUUGGAAUACUUGGUGUAGCAGUGAAAUGCGUAGAGAUCAUGAGGAAGACCAGUGGCGAAGGCGGGUCUCUGGACAGUUCCUGACACUGAGGCACGAAGGCCAGGGGAGCAAACGGG